RNAcentral lists this ribosomal RNA (270 nucleotides) under uncultured bacterium. Its description in RNAcentral is "partial 16S ribosomal RNA". It matches the Rfam family "Bacterial small subunit ribosomal RNA", at positions 29 to 291 of the family's 1533-position model. The record is from RNAcentral.
AACGAACGCUGGCGGCGUGCUUAACACAUGCAAGUCGCGUGCGCAGUUCCUGUAGCAAUACGGGGAUGGGCGCACGGCGCACGGGUGCGUAACACGUGGGCAAUCUGCCCUCCGAUGGGGAUAACCCCGCGAAAGCGGGGCUAAUUCCGCAUAACAUUCCUUGGACUCACGUUCGAGGAUUCAAAGCAGCAAUGCGUCGGAGGAGGAGCCCGCGCCCGAUUAGCUAGUUGGUGAGGUAACGGCUCACCAAGGCAAUGAUCGGUAGCUGGU